RNAcentral lists this ribosomal RNA (253 nucleotides) under uncultured bacterium. RNAcentral describes it as "partial 16S ribosomal RNA". It matches the Rfam family "Bacterial small subunit ribosomal RNA", at positions 524 to 776 of the family's 1533-position model. The record is from RNAcentral.
UACAGAGGGCUCAAGCGUUGUUCGGAUUCAUUGGGCGUAAAGGGUGCGUAGGCGGCGCGGUAAGUCCGCUGUGAAAGCCGGGGGCUCAACCCUCGAAUGCCGGUGGAUACUGUCGGGCUAGAGUGCGGAAGAGGCGAGUGGAAUUCCUGGUGUAGCGGUGAAAUGCGCAGAUAUCAGGAGGAACACCUAUUGCGAAGGCAGCUCGCUGGGACGUUACUGACGCUGAGACGCGAAAGCGUGGGGAGCAAACAGG